Molecule: ribosomal RNA, 797 nt
Filed under: Simplicillium sp.
Lineage: Eukaryota; Fungi; Ascomycota; Sordariomycetes; Hypocreales; Cordycipitaceae
Description: partial large subunit ribosomal RNA
Rfam family: Eukaryotic large subunit ribosomal RNA
Source: RNAcentral
CGGCGAGUGAAGCGGCAACAGCUCAAAUUUGAAAUCUGGCUCCUAGAGCCCGAGUUGUAAUUUGUAGAGGAUGCUUUUGAUGCGGUGCCUUCCGAGUUCCCUGGAACGGGACGCCAUAGAGGGUGAGAGCCCCGUCUGGUCGGAUGCCAAAUCUCUGUAAAGCUCCUUCGACGAGUCGAGUAGUUUGGGAAUGCUGCUCAAAAUGGGAGGUAUAUGUCUUCUAAAGCUAAAUACCGGCCAGAGACCGAUAGCGCACAAGUAGAGUGAUCGAAAGAUGAAAAGCACUUUGAAAAGAGGGUUAAAUAGUACGUGAAAUUGUUGAAAGGGAAGCGCCUAUGACCAGACUUGGGCCCGGUGAAUCAUCCAGCGUUCUCGCUGGUGCACUUUGCCGGGCACAGGCCAGCAUCAGUUUGUCUUGGGGGAAAAAGGCUUUGGGAACGUGGCUCCCUCGGGAGUGUUAUAGACCAUUGCAUAAUACCCUGGGACGGACUGAGGUUCGCGCAUCUGCAAGGAUGCUGGCGUAAUGGUCAUCAGCGACCCGUCUUGAAACACGGACCAAGGAGUCGUCUUCGUAUGCGAGUGUUCGGGUGUAAAACCCCUACGCGUAAUGAAAGUGAACGCAGGUGAGAGCUUCGGCGCAUCAUCGACCGAUCCUGAUGUUCUCGGAUGGAUUUGAGUAAGAGCAUACGGGGCCGGACCCGAAAGAAGGUGAACUAUUCCUGUAUAGGGUGAAGCCAGAGGAAACUCUGGUGGAGGCUCGCAGCGGUUCUGACGUGCGAAUCGAUCGUCAAAUAUGG